Echinops telfairi (small Madagascar hedgehog) is the source of this 169-nucleotide small nuclear RNA. Its record names the gene U1. It matches the Rfam family "U1 spliceosomal RNA". Rfam says of the family: U1 is a small nuclear RNA (snRNA) component of the spliceosome (involved in pre-mRNA splicing). Its 5' end forms complementary base pairs with the 5' splice junction, thus defining the 5' donor site of an intron. There are significant differences in sequence and secondary structure between metazoan and yeast U1 snRNAs, the latter being much longer (568 nucleotides as compared to 164 nucleotides in human). Lineage: Eukaryota; Metazoa; Chordata; Mammalia; Afrosoricida; Tenrecidae. The record is from Ensembl.
AUACUUACCUGCCAGGGGAGAUACCAUGAUCAUGAAGGUGGUUUUCCCAGGGCGAGGCCCACCACCCAUUACAUUCUGGGUGUGCUGACCCCUGAGAUUUCCCCAAAUGUGGGAAACUCGACUACCUAAUUUGUGGUGGUGGGGGGGACUGCGUUUGCACUAUCCCCUG